This 255-nucleotide ribosomal RNA is filed under the name uncultured bacterium. Its description in RNAcentral is "partial 16S ribosomal RNA". It matches the Rfam family "Bacterial small subunit ribosomal RNA", at positions 524 to 776 of the family's 1533-position model. The record is from RNAcentral.
UACAGAGGUCCCCGAGCGUUGUUCGGAUUCAUUGGGCGUAAAGGGUGCGUAGGCGGCGGGGCAAGUCUGAUGUGAAAUCCCGGGGCUCAACCCCCGGAACUGCAUUGGAUACUGCUUUGCUCGAGUACUGGAGAGGGAACUGGAAUUUACGGUGUAGCAGUGAAAUGCGUAGAUAUCGAGAGGAACACCUGCGGCGAAGGCGGGUUGCUGGGCUGAUACUGACGCUGAGGCGCGAAAGCCAGGGGAGCGAACGGG